UGAUUAAAUUCUCUAUAUUGGAGUUUUCCAGUAUUUUGAGUCAGUCCCCCUGGACAGUGGUUCUCUUCAGUGCUCCCUGGGGGCUGGAACUCUGUAGACAAACAUUAACAUUAACUGUUUAUUUAUCUUCUACUCCUUCCAUUUUUACUGCAUCUACCAUUUGAUCAACAUGAAAUCAACUCUGACUCUGCUGUGUCUGGUGGUAUGGGUGAAUGUGGAUGCUUCAUCAGCUCAGACUGUGUGCAGUGUUGCC
Molecule: long non-coding RNA, 253 nt
Organism: Oncorhynchus kisutch (coho salmon)
Lineage: Eukaryota; Metazoa; Chordata; Actinopteri; Salmoniformes; Salmonidae
Exons: 3
Source: RefSeq, a predicted model, not a curated record